RNAcentral lists this ribosomal RNA (484 nucleotides) under uncultured bacterium. RNAcentral's name for it is "partial 16S ribosomal RNA". It matches the Rfam family "Bacterial small subunit ribosomal RNA", at positions 29 to 507 of the family's 1533-position model. The record is from RNAcentral.
AUUGAACGCUGGCGGCAUGCUUUACACAUGCAAGUCGAACGGCAGCGCGGGCUUCGGCCUGGCGGCGAGUGGCGAACGGGUGAGUAAUACAUCGGAACGUGCCCAGUAGUGGGGGAUAGCUCGGCGAAAGCCGGAUUAAUACCGCAUACGACCUGAGGGUGAAAGCGGGGGAUCUUCGGACCUCGCGGUAGUGGAGCGGCCGAUGGCGGAUUAGCUAGUUGGUGGGGUAAAGGCCUACCAAGGCGACGAUCUGUAGCUGGUCUGAGAGGACGACCAGCCACACUGGGACUGAGACACGGCCCAGACUCCUACGGGAGGCAGCAGUGGGGAAUUUUGGACAAUGGGCGAAAGCCUGAUCCAGCAAUGCCGCGUGUGUGAUGAAGGCCUUCGGGUUGUAAAGCACUUUUGGCGGGAACGAAAAGGACUGUGCCAAUACCACGGUUCGAUGACGGUACCCGCAGAAUAAGCACCGGCUAACUACGUG